GUCAAAACAAUCCUUUUUCUCUCUGGUAAACUGCCGGGCUGAGAGGAGCAGCAAGCAUCUAUGGAAGUCUUCCCCGAUCUCUGAGGUGAGAAGAUACAACUUUAAUCUGGAUCUUUUGAGGGAGGAAGAUAAACCUUUAAUCUGUGGCACACCUGCUGGCAGCCUAUUUAAAGGACAUGGAAGAAGGAAGCUUGCUGUCUUUGCCUGCUUGUUCUUGCUUCCACUAGCAAGUCCAGUGCUUCACUGACAUUAGAUUCCAGUGUACGCUGAAGACCAGCUGAGACAUGCAGCCUUGUGAACUGAGCAACUACUGGACUGUUAGACUAGCUGGACCACAGUCUGCAAGCUAUUCUAGUAAAACACUCUCUCUCUCUCUCUCUCUCUCUCUCUCUCUCUCACACACACACACACACACACACACACACACACACACACACACUGUACCUUGCUAAUCUACAGAACCCUAAUACAGCAGAGAAACCCAGGCAUUUCACCAACGAAGAGGAAGUGUUCCAGACUACCACUCCAGCCUCCCCUUCCCAUCACACCCUUCUUGUUCUUGUCAGCCUCCACUAUCACACAUUAAACACCAACAAAAAAGCUAAUCAUCUCUCAAUGCUCACGAGGCUGGCUGUGUCUCUACUGAAAUUAGCCUUCUCGUUGGUCGGUUGACAAUGUUGCUCCUGCCAAGAGUGUCAUCUAAGACAAGCACUUUGAUCUGAGCAGGCACAUAUCAAUCUUAUUUUGAAAAAUGA
RNAcentral lists this long non-coding RNA (755 nucleotides) under Cricetulus griseus (Chinese hamster). RNAcentral's name for it is "lncRNA (ENSCGRG00015031060.1)". Lineage: Eukaryota; Metazoa; Chordata; Mammalia; Rodentia; Cricetidae. The record is from RNAcentral.